UGCCAGCCGCCGCGGUAAUACGAAAGGGGCUAGCGUUGUUCGGAAUUACUGGGCGUAAAGCGCGCGUAGGCGGCUUUGUAAGUCGGAUGUGAAAGCCCUGGGCUUAACCUGGGAAUGGCAUUCGAUACUGCAGAGCUAGAGUAUGGUAGAGGGAAGUGGAAUUUCCGGUGUAGCGGUGAAAUGCGUAGAUAUCAGGAGGAACACCGAUGGCGAAGGCAUCUCUCUGGGCCGAUAUUGACGCUGAGGCGCGAAGGCGUGGGUAGCGAACGGGAUUAGAUA
This 279-nucleotide ribosomal RNA is filed under the name uncultured bacterium. RNAcentral describes it as "partial 16S ribosomal RNA". It matches the Rfam family "Bacterial small subunit ribosomal RNA", at positions 506 to 784 of the family's 1533-position model. The record is from RNAcentral.